Molecule: long non-coding RNA, 443 nt
Organism: Epinephelus moara (kelp grouper)
Lineage: Eukaryota; Metazoa; Chordata; Actinopteri; Perciformes; Serranidae
Exons: 3
Source: RefSeq, a predicted model, not a curated record
UCUGAGGCCCGCCCACUUCCUGGUCGCCUCACUUCCUCCUUCCCACCGUUGCUGGUGCAGACGUCGGAUUGUCGGACACCGUGCCGAUGUAACCGCUCACGGGGAAUCUCCGUUCCGGCGCACGUGGCUUAUUGGCGGCCGCGGUUUGCAACCGCAGCCAUCUGAGCGUGAAGCUCUCCUCUCCUCUCCCGCAUGCGGUCUGACGCAGCCUGAUCGGUGCUGGAAGCUUACGGUGAUGGUCUUGGUGCCCUGGUGGUGGUGUCCCCUUUUGUGUGCUGUGCAACCCCCGGUUUUCAUUUGGUUUCCCCGUUGUGUGUUUGCGUGUGUGAGUGACACGAGUGACUGGGGUGCUCCUUUUCCUGGGAUUCCUCUCGCCUCCUCAUUGCCCCAUUCCCCUCCACUGGUAAGCUCCAGCCCUGUUAGUGUCCUCCCUUCCCUUCACA